This 460-nucleotide ribosomal RNA is filed under the name uncultured bacterium. Its description in RNAcentral is "partial 16S ribosomal RNA". It matches the Rfam family "Bacterial small subunit ribosomal RNA", at positions 338 to 795 of the family's 1533-position model. The record is from RNAcentral.
CCUACGGGUGGCUGCAGUGAGGAAUAUUGGUCAAUGGGCGUAAGCCUGAACCAGCCAAGUCGCGUGAGGGAUGAAGGUUCUAUGGAUCGUAAACCUCUUUUAUAAGGGUAUAAAGUGUGGGACGUGUCCUAUUUUGUAUGUACCUUAUGAAUAAGGAUAGGCUAACUCCGUGCCAGCAGCUGCGGUAAUACGGAGGAUCCGAGCGUUAUCCGGAUUUAUUGGGUUUAAAGGGUGCGUAGGCGGCCUUUUAAGUCAGCGGUGAAAGUCUGUGGCUCAACCAUAGAAUUGCCGUUGAAGCUGGGGUGCUUGAGGAUGUUUGAGGCAGGCGGAAUGCGUGGGGUAGCGGUGAAAUGCUUAGAUAUCACGCAGAACCCCGAUUGCGAAGGCAGCCUGCCAAGCCAUGACUGACGCUGAUGCACGAAAGCGUGGGGAUCAAACAGGAUUAGAUACCCUAGUAGUC